GACGAACGCUGGCGGCAUGCUUAACACAUGCAAGUCGAACGAGACCUUCGUGCCUUUUUGCGCACCUGGGCUUAAGGCGUGGUAACUUGCCCUUGAGUUCGCUACCACUCCCUUAAAGGGAUCUUAAUACCGCUUAAUCUCAUCCGGCCUAGGAUUUCUCGCGGUUGGGUGGGGGCUCGUUGGUUUAGCUGGUUGGUAGGGUAAAAGCCGAUCAAGGGGACGAUCCAUAGCUGGUAUGUGAGGAUGGUCAGCCACACUGGAACUGAGACACGGCCCAGAAUCCUACGGGAGGCAGCAGUGGGGAAUAUUGGACGAUGAGCGAAAGCCUGAUCCAGCAAUGCCGCGGGAGUGAUGAAGGCCUUAGGGUUGUAAAGCUCUUUUACACGGGAUGAUAAUGACAGUAACGGGAGAAGAAGCUCCGGCUAACUACGUG
Molecule: ribosomal RNA, 433 nt
Filed under: uncultured bacterium
Lineage: Bacteria
Description: partial 16S ribosomal RNA
Rfam family: Bacterial small subunit ribosomal RNA
Source: RNAcentral